GAUGAACGCUGGCGGCGUGCCUAAUACAUGCAAGUCGAGCGAACAGACGAGGAGCUUGCUCCUCUGACGUUAGCGGCGGACGGGUGAGUAACACGUGGAUAACCUACCUAUAAGACUGGGAUAACUUCGGGAAACCGGAGCUAAUACCGGAUAAUAUAUUGAACCGCAUGGUUCAAUAGUGAAAGACGGUUUUGCUGUCACUUAUAGAUGGAUCCGCGCCGCAUUAGCUAGUUGGUAAGGGAACGGCUUACCAAGGCAACGAUGCGUAGCCGACCUGAGAGGGUGAUCGGCCACACUGGAACUGAGACACGGUCCAGACUCCUACGGGAGGCAGCAGUAGGGAAUCUUCCGCAAUGGGCGAAAGCCUGACGGAGCAACGCCGCGUGAGUGAUGAAUGUCUUCGGAUCGUAAAACUCUGUUAUUAGGGAAGAACAAAUGUGUAAGUAACUAUGCACGUCUUGACGGUACCUAAUCAGAAAGCCACGGCUAACUACGUG
This 497-nucleotide ribosomal RNA is filed under the name uncultured bacterium. RNAcentral describes it as "partial 16S ribosomal RNA". It matches the Rfam family "Bacterial small subunit ribosomal RNA", at positions 28 to 507 of the family's 1533-position model. The record is from RNAcentral.